This 429-nucleotide ribosomal RNA is filed under the name Bacteroidota bacterium. RNAcentral's name for it is "Bacteroidetes bacterium partial 16S ribosomal RNA". It matches the Rfam family "Bacterial small subunit ribosomal RNA", at positions 355 to 776 of the family's 1533-position model. The record is from RNAcentral. Lineage: Bacteria; Pseudomonadati; Bacteroidota.
UAGGGAAUCUUCCGCAAUGGGCGAAAGCUUGACGGAGCAACGCCGCGUGAGUGAUGAAGGUCUUCGGAUCGUAAAACUCUGUUAUUAGGGAAGAACAAAUGUGUAAGUAACUAUGCACGUCUUGACGGUACCUAAUCAGAAAGCCACGGCUAACUACGUGCCAGCAGCCGCGGUAAUACGUAGGUGGCAAGCGUUAUCCGGAAUUAUUGGGCGUAAAGCGCGCGUAGGCGGUCAAUUAAGUCUGAUGUGAAAGCCCCCGGCUCAACCGGGGAGGGUCAUUGGAAACUGGUUGACUUGAGUGCAGAAGAGGAGAGUGGAAUUCCAUGUGUAGCGGUGAAAUGCGUAGAUAUAUGGAGGAACACCAGUGGCGAAGGCGACUCUCUGGUCUGUAACUGACGCUGAGGCUCGAAAGCGUGGGUAGCAAACAGG